RNAcentral lists this ribosomal RNA (1359 nucleotides) under uncultured bacterium. RNAcentral describes it as "bacterial SSU rRNA". It matches the Rfam family "Bacterial small subunit ribosomal RNA", at positions 28 to 1381 of the family's 1533-position model. The record is from RNAcentral.
AUUGAACGCUGGCGGCAGGCCUAACACAUGCAAGUCGAACGGUAGCACAGAGAGCUUGCUCUCGGGUGACGAGUGGCGGACGGGUGAGUAAUGUCUGGGAAACUGCCUGAUGGAGGGGGAUAACUACUGGAAACGGUAGCUAAUACCGCAUAACGUCGCAAGACCAAAGAGGGGGACCUUCGGGCCUCUUGCCAUCAGAUGUGCCCAGAUGGGAUUAGCUAGUAGGUGGGGUAACGGCUCACCUAGGCGACGAUCCCUAGCUGGUCUGAGAGGAUGACCAGCCACACUGGAACUGAGACACGGUCCAGACUCCUACGGGAGGCAGCAGUGGGGAAUAUUGCACAAUGGGCGCAAGCCUGAUGCAGCCAUGCCGCGUGUAUGAAGAAGGCCUUCGGGUUGUAAAGUACUUUCAGCGGGGAGGAAGGCGGUAAGGUUAAUAACCUUGUCGAUUGACGUUACCCGCAGAAGAAGCACCGGCUAACUCCGUGCCAGCAGCCGCGGUAAUACGGAGGGUGCAAGCCUUAAUCGGAAUUACUGGGCGUAAAGCGCACGCGGCGGUCUGUCAGUCGGAUGUGAAAUCCCCGGGCUCAACCUGGGAACUGCAUUCGAAACUGGCAGGCUGGAGUCUUGUAGAGGGGGGUAGAAUUCCAGGUGUAGCGGUGAAAUGCGUAGAGAUCUGGAGGAAUACCGGUGGCGAAGGCGGCCCCCUGGACAAAGACUGACGCUCAGGUGCGAAAGCGUGGGGAGCAAACAGGAUUAGAUGCCCUGGUAGUCCACGCUGUAAACGAUGUCGACUUGGAGGUUGUUCCCUUGAGGAGUGGCUUCCGGAGCUAACGCGUUAAGUCGACCGCCUGGGGAGUACGGCCGCAAGGUUAAAACUCAAAUGAAUUGACGGGGGCCCGCACAAGCGGUGGAGCAUGUGGUUUAAUUCGAUGCAACGCGAAGAACCUUACCUACUCUUGACAUCCAGAGAAUUUAGCAGAGAUGCUUUGGUGCCUUCGGGAACUCUGAGACAGGUGCUGCAUGGCUGUCGUCAGCUCGUGUUGUGAAAUGUUGGGUUAAGUCCCGCAACGAGCGCAACCCUUAUCCUUUGUUGCCAGCGGUUCGGCCGGGAACUCAAAGGAGACUGCCAGUGAUAAACUGGAGGAAGGUGGGGAUGGCGUCAAGCCAUCAUGGCCCUUACGAGUAGGGCUACACACGUGCUACAAUGGCAUAUACAAAGAGAAGCGACCUCGCGAGAGCAAGCGGACCUCAUAAAGUAUGUCGUAGUCCGGAUUGGAGUCUGCAACUCGACUCCAUGAAGUCGGAAUCGCUAGUAAUCGUGGAUCAGAAUGCCACGGUGAAUACGUUCCCGGGCCU